UUCUACAGCCAUACCACCCUGAAUGUGCCUGAUCUCAACUGACCUUAGAAGCUAAGCAGAGUCAGGCCUGGUUAGUACUUGGAUGGGAGAAAGCAUUAAUGUCAGUGUAAACU
This 113-nucleotide ribosomal RNA is filed under the name Octodon degus (degu). The record is from RNAcentral. Lineage: Eukaryota; Metazoa; Chordata; Mammalia; Rodentia; Octodontidae.